Molecule: transfer RNA, 55 nt
Filed under: Paratemnoides elongatus
Lineage: Eukaryota; Metazoa; Arthropoda; Arachnida; Pseudoscorpiones; Atemnidae
Description: tRNA-Ala
Source: RNAcentral
AGGUAUAUAGUUUACUAUGAACGUUUAUUUUGCAAAUAAAAAGUAUUUAUCUUUA